GAACAUAUAUUUCUUUUUAUUCAUAGCUUUUAUGAUAGCAAUGUCAGCAGUGCCUUAGCAGCACGUAAAUAUUGGCGUUAAGAUUCUAAAAUUAUCUCCAGUAUUAACUGUGCUGCUGAAGUAAGGUUGGCCAUACUCUACAGUCAUAUUUCAGCAUAUAUUAAUAUUUCCAAUGUAUUUUCAGCUUUAUUGAUAAUUAAUUUUCAGUAUUACUUAUAGUCUUGUUAUAUUUCAUAUGAUUGAAUAAAAAUAAGUUAGUACUUUUAGAUGUGUAUUAAAAUAGUGUAUUGUAAUUUAGUAAUUGUGUUAAAUGUGAUCAAGAGUUUAUUGAAAGCUCAUACAGCAUCAAAUAAAUUUAUUUUAAUGUAUAUUUAUAUUCAGUUUAAAUAUUCAGUUUUUACUUCAGAACAGAAAUAUACUUUUCCCUUUCUCUGCUUAAGAGAAAUUAAGACAUUUGCUUAUCUCACAGAUAAAUAUAUAUUGUAAAAUAUACAUUUUGAACAGAACUUAGAGGAUAAUUUUUAGUGAUAUUUCUAAAUGUUCUGUUAUAAGAGAAAGGGGAAAGUAUCAAUAUAUGUGAAUUAAAUUCCUGAAAUCCUAUGUUUCAAAGAUGCGCUUAAUCAUAACUUUAAAGGUAGGAAAGACCUUACAAAUGACCAGUAUAUUUGUUGGAUAGCUCAAGAAAUGGGAACUCAAGUUAUUUGCUACACUUGCAGAUUAAGAUAUUAACCCUGUGUCUUCUGACUUUAUACUGUCAUAUUGGUUUUUUUCUUGUUUGUACUAAAAAAAAAUUUUUUAUCCUUAGCCACAAAUUCUUGUGUAUAAGUAAAAUAAAAAACAUGAAGGCCUUGUUUAGUCUUUCUAAUAUCUAGUGUUUAACUUUAGCAUAAUACCUACAAAAAUUAUUAUGAUAGUUACUAGUUUUACAGUUGCAAACAAUCAAAAUUUUAAUUAAAGUUUGAAGGAAAAUGUUUUCUUUACCUUCUGUUCCUUACUUGUUGAUGUUUAAUAAGUCAUUAAACUAAAAAUUGAUGUUCAGGAUAAGAAGAGUGUGUUUGUGUAGUGUACCAUAAUCCUGGUCUUACUUUCUACAAGAAAUAUGUCACUCCUUUAAAUUGUAAUCCAGCAGAAAAUCUAUAAAAUACAAGCAGUUCUUAGAAAAUCAUUUCUAUUUUAAUUGUCUAUUUGGAAACCCUUAAAGUAUUUCAGAUAUAACUUAAGGAGUUGUGUUUGAGCAUCUUCUGUUUAAUUUCAAGGUAAAGAAAAUUACUUAUUUUAAGAGAGUUCUCAUUUUUAAGAAGAGUCUCACUUUUUUCCAGCAAGAUUUUUCCCCAGAAUAAAGAGGUAAUACACUAUAUUGGCUAGAAUCAAAUGCCAGCUUUUACGUGGAAGUAAUACUGCCUUACGGCUUUUAAAAAUCAUUCAUCAAGCUUUUAACCUGUUUCCUUUAUUUCAUCUCAGCCAUUUCAUGAAAGACUGUUGCAAAUGUAUGAUAAUUUUUGGCUUCAUUAAAAAUAUUUCAGGAACUAAUAUGUAGAUACUUAGAAAUAAGAAAUAUUUAUUGAAUGAGUUGUAGAGUUUCUCCAGUAUUUUACAGAACAACCCCAGAAUUAAAUUUCUAUUUUGAUUUUGUUUUCCUUAAUGUAUUUGAAGUCAGAUUUUAGAAAAUUAUAUUUUAUCUAAUCUGCCUCCUAAAUGCAUUUUACUUUUACUAAGUAAGCCUUUAUAUCUAGGUGCUCAAGAUGUGAAAAAGGAUCACUUGGGGCUAAAUAAAAACUUGAAUCAUGAGAAUGGAUUAAAGAAAAAAUUGAAAUAUUGGGAGAGUAAGAAAGUAUAGAAAAACUGUUGUAUUGAAAUUUAUUAUAACAGUAUGCAGCUCCUUUCCAGUCUCUUAACAGAGAACAGGAAAUAGCCUGUCAAUACCUAAUGAAACACUCAUUUAGGUAACUCAACAGGACUUAAAAUCUUAUUUAUAAGGGUUAAUAUACUUCCAUCUUUGUGUAAUUUGUGUAAUUUGAAAUACAAAGAGCAAAUGGUAAAAUAAAAGUUAUACCCUUUCAUGUUAGUCUUAAUAUGGACAUUUAUUUUGCAAAGAAGAAAUAGUUAUAUAUGGGUGUAUAUUAAGAUGUCAUUUUUUCUGUCUUUGGAAAAAAAUUCUAAUCUUUUUCAUUCAAGUUUAAGUUGAUGCCAAAUAAUUACAGUGUUGAGCAUCUUAAAUCAGUUACUUGGAGUAUGGAUUGAGUUUGGCGCUAACUCAGAGGACUACAGGCAAGUAUUCAAGAUGUAGCCAGAGGGAUAUUUUAGUAGGUGAACAAUUCAUUUCACGUACUGUUUUCAAAUUCAGGUAUCUUAAGAUCACAUAUAUGUAAAUGUAGAAUUGAAAAUUUGGUCAUAGACUAUCAUAUUUAACAGCAAAGAUUUUCUUCAAUUAGUCUUGUGUCCUUUUAAUUGUUAGAGAAUUAGAAGUGUUUUUAAACCACCAAGUAUCAUUAGUGGUAUACUUGGUUAGUCAUAACUGGAUUAGCAGGAUUAUACUUUAAUAAACUUUGACCUCUAAGUGAAUGUAUUUAUUUAGAAGUUGACAUUCUAAAUCAUUUUUUUUUUCCUUUUGCAGGUGGAUAUUACUAGCCCUUAUUCAUGGAAAAAGUUUUAUGCUAAGUGUUGUUUCUCAUUGAGUAUUAGCAAAAAGGAGAAAAAUUAAUGUCCUAAUCUUUUGAGAUUAGAUUUGGCUCCAGCACUUAUUUUGACAUCACCACUGCCCCCAUCCAAAAAAAAAAAAAAAAUCGUAUCUUGUGUACCUAGACCAUGUGGAGAAAGGACUGGGACCAGAGGCAGAAAACAGACCCUGACCGUACAGAGCAAAGUGCCAGACAACAGCCCGUUCUAGUGAAAGGCAAUAAACGCCACAUGGGAUAAUCUCCUCAGUUCAAAACUUUACAUCUGACUUGCGUGCCAGGUCUGAUGACUUCUACUAUCUUUUCAUGACUUCUAAAUUAUGGAGGGACUCUGUUCACCGGAUCUAAUCCCGUGAAUCUAUUCAUCACCUCCACUGUAUAUUCACCUCCACUGUUUGGCACUGUGGGGGAAUAUAAAGACCAGUAUGAAGCACAAUCCCAGUCCUCAUCUUAAAAGAACUCAUGGAACCGCAGACAUUGCAACCAGACUUUCUUGGGGCGUUUUUACAAGAAGGCCAUAUGCCUGCCUCCCUUUCUAAAUCAAGACCCAGUUUUUUGUACAUGGUGAUGUCUCACUCAUCAUGCCCCAUUCUUUGUUGGAGUGAAGACAAGAGACUUACUGAGAUGAUCUUGACAGAUGUGUCUCCAGAUAUCACCUUUAAAAUAUUUACUAAAAUAAAAAAACACAAUCCACUCUGAAAGUACACUUUUCCUAGUCAAUAAUAUAUAAUUUUUAAAUUUUGAUAAUUUAUCUCAUUCUAAAAACCUCUGGAUUGUGAACCCAUGUCUUUUGAGGAACUAUUUAAUUAAAAGCCUAAGUUAAUUUAAACCCACUGUCAAUGUUAUGCAUUCUAUUUAUAGUAAACUCUAGAAGGGAAGACCGUAUUUUGCUCCUUGCAGUAUCCUCAGUGUCUAGAAGAGUAUUUGGCACACAAUAUCAAUAAAUAUUUUCUGACUGAAUUAAUUAAAUGUAUGUAUAUUACAUGUUUCUAUGGGUAAUGUUUCUAUUACACAUUAAAAAGAACAUUUCAUUUCUCAUCUCAAGCUAGUUUCUACAAGUGUGAAUGACUAAGAACACAUUAAUAGCAGUUUAAACAUUCCCUGUCUUAUUCCUUGCCAAUCUGUAGUUACAGUAUUUUUGCUUCACUAUUCUUUUAACCAGUUAUCAGUCUUUAAUAAUCUUAUCAGCAAAGCACUAUAGAGAAUUAAACAGUGUUACAUAUAAAACCAUGCCAACUUUACCCAGCUAGUUAAAUCACACACUGCCCAAAACUUAGCAGAAUGUAAAUAUUGUACCCUAGAAUAUGAUGAGAAAACCAGACCACAAGCUUCCCCAGAACUAAGAUGGCAGACUAAAACAACUAAGUGGACUUUUCUGCGGUAAAGAGAAGAAGAGUGCUACCAAGAACAAAACACUCAUUCAUAAGGCUUUUUUUUUCUUAUUUGGGUCAUUAUUUUUCAGUUGCUAACUUUACCAUUACUAAUCUUGAAGUAUUUUGCGCUUUUCCAUUAUACAUAACCUCUUGAGGUACUACUAGGAGACUUUUGAAAGGAUCUUUCUUCCCUAUAGCUUAGUAUACAAAUCUAUAAAUAAUUACUAGAAAUUUCUGUAAUGUAAUUCCUUUACUAAGCGUAAGGAUUUCACAGGAAAGAUGGUACGGUAAAAUUUGGAUCAGUUUGAGAUAAUAGGCCAUCCUAUGCCAAAGCAGUCCCCUGACCCUGGCACAUACACACAUAAUCUUUCAGGCAUGGGUUUUCCCUUUCUACAAAAGACCUACCUGGUCUGGUGAAAAGUAAGUCUUCCUCCCACAUUUAAACUGCAUUCACUUAGUUCCUUCUCCACAGGUGACCCGUAUCUUUGCUGAAAUUCCUGAAUAUAUAUAUAUAUAUAUAUAUAUGUAUAUAUAUAUAUAUAUAUAUAAUAUAUUUUUCUACAAAUGGAAACUACAUACUGCACAUAAAGUAAAAAUAUAUUUUUUCACUUUAUACAUUGUCUUACACUUUGAUUUUUUUCAACUUACAAAUGUUUGACAAUCCUUCCUUCUUAGUUUAUAAAUUGCUGUCUCAUUCGUUUUAAAGGCUGCACAGUAUUUUUCACUGUGACCCAUUCUCUAUUGAUGAACUUUGAAUUUAUUUCUAAUUUUUGCUGUUAUGAUGAUACAGUUUCUCACUUGAAUGUAAGUUCAUUAAGAAUAAGGAUUUUUGUUUUACCCUUGUUUUAAAUCGGAAAACUUAGUGUCCAGCAAAUGUUUAACAGAUGUUUUUGAAUGAAUGAAUGAGUUUGUACUUUUAAAAAGUACUCAACUGCUUCCACUCAACAUUUUUUAACCCUUUUAUGUGCAAAGUACUUGGUGCUCUAUUUUCUGGUUUUUGUUUUUCAGUGUUUAAACUAUGAAAGUAUGACACAUCUACAGGAGACUUGGAAAAAGAACAAAGUUACAUAUCAGUUCAGUUCAGUUGCUCAGUCAUGUCCAACUCUCUGUGACCCCAUGAACUGCAGCACGCCAGGCUUCCCU
Molecule: long non-coding RNA, 5191 nt
Organism: Cervus elaphus (red deer)
Lineage: Eukaryota; Metazoa; Chordata; Mammalia; Artiodactyla; Cervidae
Exons: 5
Source: RefSeq, a predicted model, not a curated record